This is a non-coding RNA of Monopterus albus (swamp eel), 1679 nucleotides long. The record is from Ensembl. NCBI's taxonomy places the organism in Eukaryota, Metazoa, Chordata, Actinopteri, Synbranchiformes, Synbranchidae.
UGCCAAACAGCUAGCUUCUAACCAAAAACAACAAACAAUUAAUAAUAACCCCACAUUAAUUACCCAAAAAACCAAUAAAUCAUUCUACCCAUUUAGUAUGUGCGACAGAAAAAGAAAUUUAAGCUAUAGAAAAAGUACCGCAAGGGAAAGCUGAAAAAGAAAUGAAACAAAUCAGUCAAGCAAAAAAAAGCAGAGACUCAUCCUCGUACCUUUUGCAUCAUGAAUUAGUUAGACACCCCAAGCAAAGAGACCUAUAGUUUGUUUCCCCGAAACUAAGUGAGCUACUCCGAGACAGCCUAAUAAUAGGGCGAACCCGUCUCUGUGGCAAAAGAGUGGGGAGAGCUCCGAGUAGAGGUGACAGAUCUACCGAACUUAGUUAUAGCUGGUUGCCUGAGAACUGAAUAUAAGUUCAGCCUCCCAGCUUCUCUACACACUAUCACACCCAGACAGUUACUAAAGAACACCGAGAGCGUAAGUUAAAGGGGGAACAGCUCCUUUAACAUAAGAUACAACUUUAUCAGAAGGAUAAAGAUCAUAAUAAUCAAGGUACCAACUUUUCGUAGGCCUAAAAGCAGCCAUCCUUAUAGAAAGCGUCAAAGCUCAAAUACCCCUUCCACCCCUUAUUACGAUAGCCAAUCUAACUCCUCUAAUACUACCAGGCUUUUUCAUGCCCACAUGAAAGUAAUUAUGCUAAUAUGAGUAAUAAGAGAGCUCGCCUCUCUCCCCACACAAGUGUAAAUCGAAACAAACCCCAACCGAAAAUUAAUGGCCCCAAAAAAAGAGGGGAUUGAAUAACUAAUAGAUUACUAGAAAAACAACCAACAAUCAUCCAUUAAUCUUACACCAGCGUGUGAUAAAGGAAAGACUAAACCAAUGAGAAGGAACUCGGCAAACACCUCAGGCCUCGCCUGUUUACCAAAAACAUCACCUCCUGCAAACUUUAUGUAUAUAGGAGGCAUUGCCUGCCCAGUGACACAUGUUUAACGGCCGCGGUAUCCUAACCGUGCAAAGGUAGCGUAAUCACUUGUCUUUUAAUUGAAGACCUGUAUGAAUGGCAUAACGAAGGCUUAACUGUCUCCUCUUUAAAGUCAAUAAAAUUGAUCUCCCCGUGCAGAAGCGGGGAUUACACCAUAAGACGAGAAGACCCUGUGGAGCUUUAGACGCUAAAGCAGCCCACGAACUAACCUUGUCAUAAACAAGUUAUUAACCAGUGAAACCCUGCUUCCCUGUCUUCGGUUGGGGCGACCAGGAGAAACUAAAAAACUCUCCCGAGGAGUAGGAAGACUCUUCCCAAAACCAAGAGCCACACCUCUAAUAAUUAGAACUUCUAACCAUAAUAGACCCGGAAUACCCGAUCUUCGAACAAAGUUACCCCAGGGAUAACAGCGCAAUCCCCUUUUAGAGCCCGUAUCGACAAGGGGGUUUACGACCUCGAUGUUGGAUCAGGACACCCCAAUGGUGCAGCCGCUAUUAAAGGUUCGUUUGUUCAACGAUUAAAGUCCUACGUGAUCUGAGUUCAGACCGGAGUAAUCCAGGUCAGUUUCUAUCUAUGAUACAGUUUUUUCCAGUACGAAAGGACCAAAAAAACAAGGUCCCUGCCUUAAGCACACCUUAUUCUACCUCAAUGAACCCAAAUCAAUUGACGUUAGAAAGUAACUUAAAAUCUUAGACUAAGAUAU